GAUGAACGCUGGCGGCGUGCCUAAUACAUGCAAGUCGAGCGAACAGACGCGGAGCUUGCUCCUCUGACGUUAGCGGCUGAAUGGUUAGUAACGCGUGGAUAACCUACCUAUAAGACUGGGAUACAUUCGGGAAACCGGAGCUAAUACCGGAUAAUGUAUUGAACCGCAUGGUUCCUUAGUGAAAGGCGGUUUUUCUGUUACUUGUACAUGGAUCUGCGCCGCAGUAGCUAGUUGGUAAGGUAACGGCUUACUAAGGCAACGAUGCGUAGCCGACCUGAGAGGGUGAGCGGCCACACUGGAACUGAGACACGGCCCAGACUCCUACGGGAGGCAGCAGUAGGGAAUUUUCCGCAAUGGGCGAAAGCCUGACGGAGCAACGCCGCGUGAGGGAUGAAGGUCUUCGGAUCGUAAAACUCUGUUAUAAGGGAAGAACAAAUGUGUAAGUGACUAUGCACGUAUUGACGGUACCUAAUCAGAAAGCCACGGCUAACUACGUG
This 497-nucleotide ribosomal RNA is filed under the name uncultured bacterium. RNAcentral describes it as "partial 16S ribosomal RNA". It matches the Rfam family "Bacterial small subunit ribosomal RNA", at positions 28 to 507 of the family's 1533-position model. The record is from RNAcentral.